RNAcentral lists this long non-coding RNA (1356 nucleotides) under Hordeum vulgare. Its description in RNAcentral is "long non-coding RNA (HVUL_LNC000735)". Lineage: Eukaryota; Viridiplantae; Streptophyta; Magnoliopsida; Poales; Poaceae. The record is from RNAcentral.
UCUUAAAACAUAUAAUGGAUAAUACUAACCGCGCAAACCGACUUGAUUAGUUCAUUACCGUUCCACCAGAGCAUAAAAUAAAAAAACAAAUAGCCACACACAUCCCUGCAAUUUCCUAAAUCAAUACUGUAUAAAAUAGAGUGAUAACAAAAAUAAAUAUUUGUAUUAUGGAUUUAUUGUCUGUCUAUAACUAAUAGAACAAUGAGUUACCCAAGCCUUCAUAGAGUCACCAAUACAGUAAAAUCAUUGUGGAUGAAGUAUACCCACCUAACUUUCACAUUAAUGUAUCCAAGGAAAGUAUGAAAACACUUGAUGCAAAAUUAAAAUAAACUAAAAAGAAGGAUGCCUCUUACAUCCACAACCAAAGCACACCUUGUAGCCAUGCAAGACAACAGUUCUUCUACUACUGGUAUAAGGAGAAGACCACGCUUGCUGCUAGCAGACAGUCCGCACAUGAUAGUAAUCAAAAUGUGUAUGCCAUUAAAGAUAAGUAAUGUCUAUAAUCAUGCUUUCUGCCACAAUUAACAAUACUUUUUUGAGUAUGCUCCAAUCAUCUUGACCAGUGUCAAUCCAACUUCCAAAUUUCUAUUCCAAAAGAUUAACACCAUGCAGAGAUCCAAGUUUUGGAAUCAUCAUCUAGAACAACAAAAUGAGACCGACCACCAGCACCACCUCAGACAAAGGGCAGACCAGCCUCCUUCGUUAGGAGGGCCCGCCGCCACCGUUGCGGAGGCUGGCUGCAGCAGGGGCGAGUGGGAGCGGGGUGACUGGAGGAGGACGAUACACUGUUUCGGGAGGGAGGGGAGGGGCUUGUGGAGGAGGAGGGAGAGACGAAGGGGGGCGGAGGAAACCUGCGAUGACUAGGGUUUUGGAGGGCUACGACCUCCUUGUCGUGGGCCAAAUCUGUCGUCGGAGAUGGCGGUCUCGUCAGUCCGUGACCUGGAUCCUUCAUAAAGACGAAGCAGAGGUGCGGCGACAUGCGAACGGGAUGGGAAUGGGCAGAUGGACGGCGGCGCGCAUGCGAGCUGGAUGAGGACGGGGGGACAGACGGCAAUGCCGCGCGAGUGGGAUGGGGACCGGAGGAUGACGGUGUCUACGAGGGGAUCGAGGGUAGCAUCUGGGUUUGGACGGGAGUACUGAUUUUUUUUUUGUUGUACAUGCAAUACGGGUGGGGGGAGACGAAGUUAAACCGGUUGAAAAUAAAUUUGGAUGAUAUUCUAUCAAGUUAGCAAUUAGGAGUAGAGAUAAAGUGUAUCACGUACACACGUACUAGUACGAGAAACGCACAAAGUUUUUACUGAUUUUCAAAAGAGAAAGAUCGAGCACAUAUUUGUGUAUAAGGACCCCUGUUUCAGA